CAAACGCGCUUUUCAAAGCACGAUAUCACCUAAAUUAAUAAGAUGCCAUUUGAUGGUCCCAAUGAGAUAAGUCUCGAUUCAACUUCACAAAGACUUAACCCCAUAUCUAUUCAAACAUUUCCAAAUGGUUCUCUCUCUCUCUCUCUCUCUCUCUCUCUCUAAAAUGAUUCUCUCUUACUAGCCCUAAGUAGUCGUGUCUCACUAGCCCUAAAGAGUCGUGGAUGCAACUAGCAAUGAAGACUUCUUGGAGUUUAUAGAUCUACAGAGAGAUUGAUGCUUCUAAUCUCAAUGGUAUCCAAUUGCUCUUGAUUUGGAGUUACUGAGUUCACUUGAGAUAUAGAGCUUUCAUGGGCUUGUUCUUCAUCAAGUCUGAUCUAGACUUGCUAUGAGUUCACUCAAGAUUCAGAGAUUUUCAUCACUACACAGUAACGAUUUGGAUCUGUGUUCCAUUUAAAUAAACUCUUGCUUAGGUUUUGAUUUUCAUCGGUGAUCUAGGUUCUCAUCUGUUCCAUAAACGAUGGCUUGUGCUUGGUUUGGAUGAUUUGGAUCUGAUCUAGGGUUAUGUAUAUCUCAAGUAUGGUUGUUUUAUAUUUUUCAAUUCUAUAAUCGUUUUACGUUUUUCUCUUACUUUUUCUCUAUUUCUUCUCUUUAUUCGAUGAGCUCACUACAUAUGUGUGUUUAUAUAGUUUUAUAUGUUUAUCUAAGACAUCUUUGAAGAACAUUAAUCAUCACUGGUUUUGUUGUGUUUUCUUAAACAAGGAUUAGUGCUUAGAUUGACGACUGGUGUUUUUGGCCAUAUAGCACUUAAAUCUUCUAAUUUGGGCAUCUGUUCUUGACUUCUUUGUGUUUUCUCAGUGAAUUUACUCCAUCAUAGCUAGGGGGAACAUGAUUGAGACAAGAAGUUUCAGGGAGAGAAACAAAUUGAGAAACCAUGUGGGUGAAAGCACUAAAGCUUGGUUAAAUUUGUUUGCUUUUUGUGUUAUUGUUAUCUAACCCUUCCUCUGCUAUCUUAUUAUUUGUUGUGUUUGCAAUUGAAGUAUCUUUCUUCACAUCAUACUUGUAUUUUUUAAUAAUCUUUUUAAUUUAAUUUUUUUGAGAUAGGGAUGCAAGGUGUAGCUGUAAACGAAUAUUUACUUUUGUUAAAAUUUGGAGAAGAUUAUACCUAAGAAAGAUAAUUUUUUAUUUUAUUUUAUUUUAUUUUUUUGUAUGCCAAAAAUAAGAUGUUAACAGAUUAUUUGCAAGAUAGAUUAUUAUUAAUUUCAGAUAUUUUAUUGUUUAUGUUGUAUGCUUAUCUAAGGUUAGGGUGGGAUGACAAAACGAAUUUUACUGAUUUAAUAUACAUGUUCAUUCACAUAUUUGCUUGUGUAAUGCAAGUGGCAUCUACUGAAAUAUGUAGAGUUGAAGAUGUCAUCUCUUUGGAAUCCCAAAUUUGGCUCCAAAUCUUCUAUCAAUUGUUCUUGUAUCAAAGAGGAACACACUCCCAAAGCCUCUGAUUCUGAGGGGGGAGGGGUUAAUUUUGGCCAACAUUCACAGGUAGAUGAUGUGAAUGUAAUAUAUAUGAUUAACUUAAUAGACUUGUCUUUCUUGGAAUCAGAUAGUGGGAGUGUAUAGAGCACAUUGGCUUUGUACUUGUUCAGUUUGCAUGCCCCUCUGAGUUUUGGAGGGUUGUCUGUGGUUGCCCAUGUUUUGCAUUAACAAGUUCUUGAUCCACAUACUGAGAGCCAACAUGAUGAGCUGGAGGCAAAGUUUUUCGAAGAGAUAGCAGCCUUUGAAACUAAAAUACCAGAGCAAACUCCAUAUUUUUUUUUGUUAAAAUGUGGAAAUAUUAGCGAUUUUUAUUUUUUUAUGUUGAGUUAACAUAUUACGUUUUAAGGUUUUUGUUUAUGGUUA
Camellia sinensis is the source of this 1890-nucleotide non-coding RNA. The record is from RefSeq and is a predicted model, not a curated record. NCBI's taxonomy places the organism in Eukaryota, Viridiplantae, Streptophyta, Magnoliopsida, Ericales, Theaceae.